Molecule: ribosomal RNA, 95 nt
Filed under: Corynebacterium sp. HMSC073H12
Lineage: Bacteria; Bacillati; Actinomycetota; Actinomycetes; Mycobacteriales; Corynebacteriaceae
Description: partial 16S ribosomal RNA
Rfam family: Bacterial small subunit ribosomal RNA
Source: RNAcentral
GGGAGCUGUCGAAGGUGGGAUUGGCGAUUGGGACGAAGUCGUAACAAGGUAGCCGUACCGGAAGGUGCGGCUGGAUCACCUCCUUUCUAAGGAGA